This 667-nucleotide ribosomal RNA is filed under the name uncultured bacterium. RNAcentral describes it as "bacterial SSU rRNA". It matches the Rfam family "Bacterial small subunit ribosomal RNA", at positions 138 to 790 of the family's 1533-position model. The record is from RNAcentral.
UGGGAACACCCCUUGAUAGGGGUGUUUAUACCCAAUGCCGUCCUGUGUCUAGUUGCACGAUUAAAGGAGGCCUCUGAUUCAAGCUUUCGCUCGAGGAGGGGUCUAUGUCCUAUUAGCUAGUUGGUGAGGUAACAGCCUACCAAGGCUGUGAUGGGUAGCCGACCUGAGAGGGUGACCGGCCACACUGGGACUGAGACACUGCCCAGACUCCUACGGGAGGCUGCAGUCGAGAAUCUUCCGCAAUGCGCGAAAGCGUGACGGAGCGACGCCGCGUGGGCGAUGAAGGCCUUCGGGUUGUAAAGCCCUGUUGCCUGUUUUGAAUGACGGGCGGUAAACAGCCGUCCCGUCUGACGUAAGCAGCAGAGGAAGCACCGGCUAACUACGUGCCAGCAGCCGCGGUAAUACGUAGGGUGCAAACGUUGUUCGGAAUCACUGGGCAUAAAGGGCGCGUAGGCGGUCUGGUAAGUCAGGGUGAAAUCCCUCGGCCCAACCGAGGAAUUGCAUUUGAUACUGCCGUGCUUGAGUACAGGAGGGGAGACGCGGAAUUCCUGGUGUAGCGGUGAAAUGCGUUGAUAUCAGGAGGAACACCGGUGGCGAAAGCGACUCUCUGGCCUGCUACUGACGCUGAGGCGCGAAAGCUAGGAGCAAACGGGAUUAGAUACCCCGG